UAAUGUGAAAAAGAAUGCCAUGCCACAAGCUAAUACAAUUCCCCACCAUGGAAGUUGAAGCUGUCUAUCGAAGCCUUCACAAGCAUAGAUUGAAAGAGCAAAUGUUACUACUAAUACAAUGUGGAACCACCAUUGAGAAAUGUAAAACUGUCAUUGCAACAUACAACGAGAAAAUUCUUUCUGCAGAAAGAAAGAUAAUAGAAUGAGACAUCAAGAUGUUAUUGAAGAUGCUUACUUUCCUUCGAAGAGUGCAACAUGUGAUAUGCUAGCCAUUAGUGUCGCGAAGCUCAAUCCGUAGAGGAAGGCAAACACAAUACUGAGAGUCAUAGGCAUAUGGAGAAACUAUGGGAAAUCGCUGGGCUUCAUAAAGAUUAUUCCAAUAAGCAAUU
Long non-coding RNA from Mangifera indica (mango), 389 nucleotides. RefSeq lists it as uncharacterized. Lineage: Eukaryota; Viridiplantae; Streptophyta; Magnoliopsida; Sapindales; Anacardiaceae. The record is from RefSeq and is a predicted model, not a curated record. The transcript is spliced from 3 exons.